Molecule: ribosomal RNA, 429 nt
Filed under: bacterium
Lineage: Bacteria
Description: partial 16S ribosomal RNA
Rfam family: Bacterial small subunit ribosomal RNA
Source: RNAcentral
UAGGGAAUCUUCGGCAAUGGGGGCAACCCUGACCGAGCAACGCCGCGUGAGUGAAGAAGGUUGUCGGAUCGUAAAGCUCUGUUGUAAGAGAAGAACGUGUGCGAGAGUGGAAAGUUCACACAGUGACGGUAACUUACCAGAAAGGGACGGCUAACUACGUGCCAGCAGCCGCGGUAAUACGUAGGUCCCGAGCGUUGUCCGGAUUUAUUGGGCGUAAAGCGAGCGCAGGCGGUUGAAUAAGUCUGAAGGUAAAGGCAGUGGCUGAACCAUUGUUGGCUUUGGCAACAGUUACACUUGAGUGCAGAAGGGGAGAGUGGAAUUACAUGUGUGGCGGUGGACUGCGUAGAUAUAUGGAGGAACACCGGUGGCGAAAGCGGCUCUCUAGUCUGUAACUGACGCUGAGGCUGGAAAGAGUGGGGAGCAAGCAGG